UACGUAGGGUGCGAGCGUUAAUCGGAAUUACUGGGCGUAAAGCGUGCGCAGGCGGUUAUAUAAGACAGUUGUGAAAUCCCCGGGCUCAACCUGGGAACUGCAAUUGUGACUGUAUGGCUAGAGUGUGUCAGAGGGGGGUAGAAUUCCACGUGUAGCAGUGAAAUGCGUAGAGAUGUGGAGGAAUACCGAUGGCGAAGGCAGCCCCCUGGGAUAACACUGACGCUCAUGCUCGAAAGCGUGGGGAGCAAACAGG
Molecule: ribosomal RNA, 253 nt
Filed under: uncultured bacterium
Lineage: Bacteria
Description: partial 16S ribosomal RNA
Rfam family: Bacterial small subunit ribosomal RNA
Source: RNAcentral